This 415-nucleotide long non-coding RNA is filed under the name Gallus gallus (chicken). The record is from RNAcentral. Lineage: Eukaryota; Metazoa; Chordata; Aves; Galliformes; Phasianidae.
CAGGGCACCUAUGAGUGGGGCACUGAGGAAUGAUAAUAAGCCCUUUACUCCUUGAAUUAGACCAUUCAUUAGAAAUGUAUGUUUUGGAAAGGUUUCAUGCAAAACCAUCAGAGUGGGUGCUGUCAGGAGUCCCCAAGCAAAAAACUCCAAAAAUAUCACUAUCACAGCAUGGUAGACGCUAGGUGAGCCUAUUCCUUGAGGCGUCCCUCCAUCCUUAAUGAUGAUUUUCUUGGCCAGCAUGAUGCUGCGGUUCACGGCGCGUUUCUUCUUCUUCCCCCCCUGGGUCAUUUUACCAUCCUCCCUGGGAGGGAGCGGGGGCAGCGCGGACCGUCCCCACAGACAGACCUGCCCGUUCCUCCCGCGCGGCCGCAGCCACCUCUCAGGCACACGCCGCCAUCUUGUUCCACCGCCCCAG